Molecule: non-coding RNA, 2554 nt
Organism: Arachis ipaensis
Lineage: Eukaryota; Viridiplantae; Streptophyta; Magnoliopsida; Fabales; Fabaceae
Source: RefSeq, a predicted model, not a curated record
AAUAUCACUUUCACCGUUGAAGCCAUUUUCUCAUUUCUCACAUUUCAUCCCUCUUUACUGUAUCAGUGCCUCCAUCACCUCACUUUGCUAUUGCAACCUCUUCAUUUCGCCGUCGCUGCCAUCUCCUCCUCUUCCUCACACCAAGUUCUACACCGAACGACUCAAGUAACAUUCUUGGCUACCACCUCAUCCUCAAUCUGCGUUGGUUGUCGCUAGUUCAUGUCACAGUCUCUGUCGAUGGCUUGUAGCCUUAUGUGGUGGUUUCUAUCACCGCCUCUGUCAUACAUUAUGAUCUCUAGUUUCAGUUCGCACCUCAGUAACCUUUUCAUCGAUCUCUUAUUCAAUUGUGGUUCCUUAUUUGAGAAAUUCUCAUUUUCUAGGGUUUAUGUGAUUCAUGCUAACUAAUACAUUCUUGCAUAUCAUCAUGCACCAAUUUUUAUGCUCCAGGAGAAAUUAAUUUGAAAUUUGGAUUUGCUAGUGUGAGGCUGGCUUUAGGCUCAGUGAAUUUGCAUACUCACCAUUUCGGUCCUCCUUUAAAGAUGUCAACCAUGGCACCUGAAACAUACAAGGAGGCAGUCCUUCAGGCAAAAGAACAUAUUAAGGCAGGGGAUAUUCACUUUGUGGAGAACAGAAUAAUGAGGAUUUAAAGAAGAGUGAAGUGACAACAUGUGACACCUUUCCCUUCUUAUUAAGUCAAGAUUGAUGAUCAGAGUCAAUUUAACCCUCCAAAAAAGUGCACCAUUAAUUGAAUCAUGCAAAGUCCAGAUGAAAUAUACAUGAGUUUUGCUGUUUGGUGUGACUUGUGGACUUAACUGAUCCAGUCAAGUACUUUUUCCAGGCCUAGUUGCAGUUUCAGAAGGGGAGAAAAAUAUUUGUAGAGAGGCAAAGGAGAACCAAAACCCCAUUAUAGUAAUGGCAGAGGAUAAGGGAUUCUCUGUCUUGGAUAAUAGAUUUGGGUAUGACAAGAAGAGUGACACUGAUACUAUGUAUCCUAUGUAUUUUGGUGUUUCUUGUGUGUUUUUUGCACUCCAAGCACUCACAAAAUCACAUGUUGAGGUUGAAAAAUGGAGUGAAAUCCGUGACAGCAUACUCCAAGGGAGUGCACAACUGCUUGGGUUGAUUGUGUGGAAGGUUCAGAAAGGGGUUCCGGAUGGAGAAGAAUAUAGGUCUUCAAGCUCAGGAAUGCUGAGAGGGAGAUUAAGAAUCUCAAGAAGAUGAGGCAUGAGGAUGCAAAGGCCAAUGAGAAAGUUGUGGGGAUCUUUGCUACACAGGAGCAUAGUUGGUUGCAUGAAAGGCGAAAACUUCGGCAGCACAUUGGGGCUCUGAUGAAUGAGCUGAGAGUGUUUGAAAAGAAAAAGGAUGAGGCUGUCUCUGAAAUGAGCCAAAAAUUGAAGGAAAUAGAGGAUUUGCUGGAGUCCAGGGACAAAGUAAUUCAAGAAGGGGAGCAGAAGAGGAAGGAGUUGGAGGAAAAUCUUGCAAAGGCUGAAAGGGAAGCAGAAGAAUUGAGAGAAUCUGUUAAGCUUGAAGCUCAGGAACACUCCUCUGAUCUCAGGAAGCACAAAACUGUCUUUAUUGAGCUGGUGUCAAACCAACAGCAGCUAGAAGCGGAGCUUGGCCACGCCAUGAAGCAGUUGGAGGCUGCAAAGCAGGAGCUCGGUUCAGUCUUGGAGAAGAAGGAGGAGUCAGAAUUGUUGGCCCAAAAAUUGUCUAUUGAGAUUGUAUUUUGGUUGAACUUUUGCAUUUGUGUCUUUAUGCAUCUGACCUGUUCGACGAAAUGCUUCAUCCAUCUAAGGAAAUCAAGGGUAAAUUCAACUCCGGUAAAUCAACGGUGAUUAAUGCACUUCUUGGGGAAAGAUACCUGAAAGAGGGAGUUGUUCCAACUACUAAUGAGAAAGAAAUGACAAUUGUUGAUACGCUUGGAACUAAUGUGAUUCUUCAGAGGCAACAACGUCUCACAGAGGAAUUCGUACCAUGCGCUGACUUGUGACACAAGAUUGCCGAUAUGCCAAGCAGGACUUAGCUGCAAUUGUCAAUAGUGUAAAUGAUUUUGCAAUGGAUAUGGAAACUGAGAGCCUUUCUUGGAGGAGACAAACUUCUUCUUUGAUUGAGACUACAAAAUCACGUGCUAUGGAGCUCAUUGAAUCUACUUUACUAUUGUCAAAUCUUGAUAUUGUCAAAUCUCUUACCAAUUUUCCGUAGGAGUUAAGGCUGUGACAUCCUUUUCUUCAAAUUCCAGCUUUCUCACAAGCUGAUAUCGUCCCUCAAGCUUCACUUGGUCCAAUAAUAAUGAUGUAUAAUCUGAUUUGUUUCUUAUCUGCAUGUGGCUCUUGUCAUAUUUUGCUGAAGAGUGUUCUGAUUGAACCAACAAGUAGAAAUACUAGCAUCGGAUUAGCUUUCAUGGCCGUAGCCAAGGGUUACAAGGUCAAAAUUACAAUGCCUGCUUCAAUGAGUCUCGAAAGGAGAAUCACUAUACUAGCAUCGGAUUAGCUUUCAUGGCCGUAGCCAAGGGUUACAAGGUCAAAAUUACAAUGCCUGCUUCAAUGAGUCUCGAAAG